Molecule: unclassified non-coding RNA, 244 nt
Filed under: uncultured Rozellomycota
Lineage: Eukaryota; Fungi; Rozellomycota
Description: uncultured Cryptomycota sequence contains ITS2
Source: RNAcentral
CAUAAACAUUUGUCCAAGCAAUUGGGAUUUGAGACCCGCUGUCUGUGGAUGGCGCUUCUUUAAAUGUAUUACGGGGCUGGCACUUGCUGCAUGCUGCUCGAGUGAGGAAGUUUGCAUCCGUGCAAAAUAUUCAUGAGAGGAGUGUGUGCCGAAGCGGAAGCAGAAGCGAAAAAGCAAGGUGCAUUGUUGCACCGAAACAUGACCAUGAUGUCGUCGCUAACACGCUCAUCAUGCAGUCGCACAA